UCGAACGAGAAAGGGGAGCAAUCCCUGAGUACAGUGGCGUACGGGUGAGUAACACGUGGAUGAUCUAUCUCUUAGUGGGGAAUAACCCUGGGAAACCGGGGAUAAUACCGCAUAAGCUCGAGAGAGGAAAGCAGCAAUGCGCUGAGAGAGGAGUCCGCGGCCGAUUAGCUAGUUGGCAGGGUAAAAGCCUACCAAGGCAGAGAUCGGUAGCCGGCCUGAGAGGGCACACGGCCACACUGGCACUGAAACACGGGCCAGACUCCUACGGGAGGCAGCAGUGGGGAAUCUUGCACAAUGGGGGAAACCCUGAUGCAGCGACGCCGCGUGAGCGAUGAAGCCCUUCGGGGUGUAAAGCUCUUUCGGCAGGGAAGAUAAUGACGGUACCUGCAGAAGCAGCUGCGGCUAACUACGUGCCAGCAGCCGCGGUAAUACGUAGGCAGCGAGCGUUGUUCGGAGUUACUGGGCGUAAAGGGUGUGUAGGCGGUUGUUUAAGUUUGGUGUGAAAUCUCCCGGCUCAACUGGGAGGGUGCGCCGAAUACUGAAUGACUUGGAGUGCGGGAGAGGAGAGUGGAAUUCCUGGUGUAGCGGUGAAAUGCGUAGAUAUCAGGAGGAACACCGGUGGUGUAGACGGCUCUCUGGACCGUAACUGACGCUGAGACACGAAAGCGUGGGUAGCAAACAGGAUUAGAUACCCUGGUAGUCCACGCCCUAAACGAUGCAUAUUUGGUGUGGGCAGUUCAUUCUGUCCGUGCCGGAGCUAACGCGUUAAAUAUGCCGCCUGGGGAGUACAGUCGCAAGGCUGA
This 803-nucleotide ribosomal RNA is filed under the name uncultured bacterium. RNAcentral's name for it is "bacterial SSU rRNA". It matches the Rfam family "Bacterial small subunit ribosomal RNA", at positions 62 to 897 of the family's 1533-position model. The record is from RNAcentral.